GACGAACGCUGGCGGCGUGCUUAACACAUGCAAGUCGAACGGAAAGGCCCUGCUUUUGUGUGGCGCUCGAGUGGCGAACGGGGGUGUAACACGUGAGUAACCCGCCCCUGACUUUCGGAUAACUUUACGAAACUGGGGCUAUUAUCAGAUAGGAGCUCUUGCUGCUUGUUGUUGAAAAGAAAUUUUCGGCGGUUCGGGAUUGACUCGCGGCUUAUCCGCUUGUUGGUGGGGUAGUGGCAUACCAUGGCUUUGACGGGUAGCCGGCCUGAGAGGCUGACCGGCCACAUUAGGAAUGAGAUACGGCCCAGACACCUAGGGGAGGCAGCGGUGGGGAAUAUUGCACAGUGGGCGGAAGCCUGAUGCAGAAGCGCGGGGUGCGGGAUGAAGGGCUUGGGGUGGUAAACCGCUUUGGCCUGUGACGAAGAGUGAGUGACGGUAAUGUGUUAAGAAGCACCGGCUAACUACGUG
RNAcentral lists this ribosomal RNA (468 nucleotides) under uncultured bacterium. Its description in RNAcentral is "partial 16S ribosomal RNA". It matches the Rfam family "Bacterial small subunit ribosomal RNA", at positions 28 to 507 of the family's 1533-position model. The record is from RNAcentral.